UACGUAUGGUGCAAGCGUUAAUCGGAAUUACUGGGCGUAAAGCGCGUGUAGGCGGCCCGGAAAGUCGGAUGUGAAAGCCCUGGGCUUAACCUAGGAAGUGCAUUCGAAACUGCCGGGCUUGAGUUCUGGAGAGGAAGGCGGAAUUCUCGGUGUAGAGGUGAAAUUCGUAGAUAUCGAGAGGAACACCGGUGGCGAAGGCGGCCUUCUGGACAGUGACUGACGCUGAGACGCGAAAGCGUGGGGAGCAAACAGG
This 253-nucleotide ribosomal RNA is filed under the name uncultured bacterium. RNAcentral describes it as "partial 16S ribosomal RNA". It matches the Rfam family "Bacterial small subunit ribosomal RNA", at positions 524 to 776 of the family's 1533-position model. The record is from RNAcentral.